Molecule: non-coding RNA, 257 nt
Organism: Cinara cedri
Lineage: Eukaryota; Metazoa; Arthropoda; Insecta; Hemiptera; Aphididae
Source: the annotation of a GenBank genome assembly
GCGACAUCCUAAUAUCAUACCCAUUCGGUCACGUGUUAAGUGCAAAAGUCGUCAGCACAUAUACGAGAGGCGGGAAAGUGGGGAUUUUAAGUGUUUAAACACGAAUUUUUUUUUUUUUUUUAACAAAUUUUGUUUAGUUUGAUACCGAAGGAACAUUUCUACGCCUUUAACCGAUGCAGAAGAGGUCUUGUUAUUAAUGAACCGGGAAGAAAAUUUAGGCGUCUAGGGAAUAUCAUUGAAUCAAUUGAAUUGAACUU